AUGGGCACCUCGGACCGCGGG
RNAcentral lists this unclassified non-coding RNA (21 nucleotides) under Mus musculus (house mouse). Its description in RNAcentral is "oocyte_clustered_small_RNA10706". The record is from RNAcentral. Lineage: Eukaryota; Metazoa; Chordata; Mammalia; Rodentia; Muridae.